UACGUAGGUGGCAAGCGUUGUCCGGAUUUACUGGGCGUAAAGGGAGCGUAGGCGGAUUUUUAAGUGAGAUGUGAAAUACCCGGGCUUAACUUGGGUGCUGCAUUUCAAACUGGAAGUCUAGAGUGCAGGAGAGGAGAAGGGAAUUCCUAGUGUAGCGGUGAAAUGCGUAGAGAUUAGGAAGAACACCAGUGGCGAAGGCGAUUCUCUGGACUGUAACUGACGCUGAGGCUCGAAAGCGUGGGGAGCAAACAGGAUUAGAUACCCGCGUAGU
Molecule: ribosomal RNA, 271 nt
Filed under: uncultured prokaryote
Description: partial 16S ribosomal RNA
Rfam family: Bacterial small subunit ribosomal RNA
Source: RNAcentral